RNAcentral lists this ribosomal RNA (330 nucleotides) under Triticum aestivum (bread wheat). RNAcentral describes it as "partial small subunit ribosomal RNA". Lineage: Eukaryota; Viridiplantae; Streptophyta; Magnoliopsida; Poales; Poaceae. The record is from RNAcentral.
AUGGUGUUUUUUGUGCCGAAAAAAGGCGUGUUGUGUCUCUCAGGAAAUAGAAUGUUGGCUUUGUGCACACAAGCAGGGUCAGGAUGUGUACCAAUCCUACAGAGUGUGAGACUGUCAAUUAGAGGUUUUGCGGAGACGAGCAAUAAGGAAGUUGUGAAGCCAGAGUUGGGAACAAAUUUUGACUCGUUGACGGAGGUGUAUGACUUCUACAACCUAUAUUCCUGGGAACAUGGUUUUGAAAUCCGAUACGGGGAAAGCAGGCUGAACCCAGAGAAAAAGGAAGACCAUGCAGGAAAUUGUGUGUGCAGAUGCUCGGGGAAGCUAUUAUGA